UGCGUUCAAAAAGCUACGAGUCCCAACUUGCUAUACUUCCUAACUGCUAAGUUUCAAAGUAGCCAUCAUUUCAAAACACCUUAGCCUCAUCUUUUUUUUCAAUACAAACCAGCAUAACAAUUUAGCACUAGCAUUAUUUCAAUAGAAACCAACAUCAUCUCAAAAUAGAAGUAAACUCAUUCAAAGCUCAAUAAGUCCAAAGCAAGUAAACCUAUUUUAAAAUAAAACAGAAACAAGUAUAGAAAAAAUAACAACAAGCAUGACAGGGACACAUACCAAAAAGGAGAAGUGGCGGCGACGGCGGCGGUGCACGGCUGAUAGCAACAGUUACCGGUGGAAAUGACGUUAAAACAGGAACAAAUGUAUCAAUAAACAUGGCUUGUGCAUCAAUGGCAGUCAGCAUCAACAUAGCAGGGUUUGGCAGUGAACAAAGUCAACAUAGCAUGCCUUGAUCUGAUUUAAAUUUUAUUGUAAUUUAUUUUUGGCUUUAAUCUUAGUUUGUAAUUUGAUUUGGUUUUAAAACUCUAAUUAGAUGAAAUUGUAAAUUUAUGAUACAUAAUAAAAAUAUUUAUUGUAAU
Molecule: long non-coding RNA, 578 nt
Organism: Cicer arietinum (chickpea)
Lineage: Eukaryota; Viridiplantae; Streptophyta; Magnoliopsida; Fabales; Fabaceae
Source: RefSeq, a predicted model, not a curated record